Molecule: ribosomal RNA, 480 nt
Filed under: Triticum aestivum (bread wheat)
Lineage: Eukaryota; Viridiplantae; Streptophyta; Magnoliopsida; Poales; Poaceae
Description: partial small subunit ribosomal RNA
Source: RNAcentral
AUGGAUCGGGGUGAGUUCUACGUCAUCAUGGAGCUCUUUGAACGGGCGGUUCACUUCAAGUGGGAGGUCAUAAUCGUCUAUGGUCCUGCCGACCACAGCCGGUCGGCCUCCUUCCUCGACGAGCUUAUGAGGAAGGUGUCGGCUACCCAACUCCCGGUAGUGGUGGGCGGCGACUUCAACCUCCUCGGCUACGCAGAGGAUAAGAGUAAUGACCUAGUCAACUACCCUCGGAUGCAAAUGUUCAAUGGCUGCAUUGCUGAGCUCGGCCUCCGAGAGUUAGAUAGGGUUGGUGCCAGAUUCACCUGGACCAACCAGCAGGUAGACCCGACCCGCUCCGUCCUCGACCGGGUCUUGGUCUCGCCAGAAUGGGAGCAUCGCUUCCCCCUUGCCUCCCUCCGCGCCAUCACCCGUAUCGGCUCGGACCAUGUCCCCCUUCUCCUAUCCUCGGAGGAUGAGCGCCCUGCCACCCCCACCUCCUAG